RNAcentral lists this non-coding RNA (28 nucleotides) under Rattus norvegicus (Norway rat). The record is from RNAcentral. Lineage: Eukaryota; Metazoa; Chordata; Mammalia; Rodentia; Muridae.
AGUUGUACAAAUACUAAAAGUCCCACAG